GAUGAACGCUGGCGGCGUGCCUAAUACAUGCAAGUCGAGCGAACAGACGAGGAGCUUGUUCCUCUGACGUUAGCGGCGGACGGGUGAGGAACACGUGGACAACCUACCUAUAAGACUGGCAUAACUUCGGGAAACCGGAGCUAAUACUGGAUAAUAUAUUCAACCGCAUGGUUCAAUAGAGAAAGACGGAUUUGCUAUCAGUGAUAGAUGGAGCGGCGCCGCAUUAGCUUGUUGGUAAGGUAACGGCUUACCAAGGCGACGAUGCGUAGGCGACCUGAGAGGGUGAUCAGCCACACUGGAAUUGAGCCACGGUCCAGACUCCUCCGGGACGCAAGGGUGGAGAAUCUUCCGCAAUGGGCGGAAGCCUGGCGGGACCCCGCCGCGUGGGUGAUAGGAGUCUUCGCAUCUUAAAACUCUGUUAUUUGGGAAAAACAAUUGUGUAAGUAACUAUGCACGUCUUGACGGUACCUUAUCAAAAAGCCACGGCUAACUACGUG
This 497-nucleotide ribosomal RNA is filed under the name uncultured bacterium. RNAcentral describes it as "partial 16S ribosomal RNA". It matches the Rfam family "Bacterial small subunit ribosomal RNA", at positions 28 to 507 of the family's 1533-position model. The record is from RNAcentral.